This 262-nucleotide ribosomal RNA is filed under the name uncultured bacterium. RNAcentral describes it as "partial 16S ribosomal RNA". It matches the Rfam family "Bacterial small subunit ribosomal RNA", at positions 524 to 785 of the family's 1533-position model. The record is from RNAcentral.
UACGGAGGGUGCAAGCGUUGUUCGGAAUUAUUGGGCGUAAAGCGCGUGUAGGCGGUCUGUUAAGUCUGUUGUGAAAGCCCCGGGCUCAACCCGGGAAGUGCAUUGGAUACUGGCAGACUUGAAUACGGGAGAGGGUAGUGGAAUUCCUAGUGUAGGAGUGAAAUCCGUAGAUACUAGGAGGAACACCGGUGGCGAAGGCGGCUACCUGGACCGAUAUUGACGCUGAGACGCGAAAGCGUGGGGAGCAAACAGGAUUAGAACC